This 78-nucleotide non-coding RNA is filed under the name unclassified sequences. RNAcentral's name for it is "RT-18 RNA". It matches the Rfam family "RT-18 RNA". From Rfam's summary of the family: Clostridiales (Firmicutes). Nearby to self-splicing intron genes The record is from Rfam by way of RNAcentral.
UGCCACUUGGCAAAAAUUAAGCCGACCAAGAGGUAUGGGUUAGUAAGAUUGCCGAAAAUCCAUAAGGCUUAUAAGUAA